RNAcentral lists this transfer RNA (82 nucleotides) under Phytophthora infestans T30-4. It matches the Rfam family "tRNA". From Rfam's summary of the family: Transfer RNA (tRNA) molecules are approximately 80 nucleotides in length. Lineage: Eukaryota; Oomycota; Peronosporomycetes; Peronosporales; Peronosporaceae. The record is from Rfam by way of RNAcentral.
GACAGCUUGGCCGAGCGGUUAAGGCGAUAGACUCGAAAUCUAUUGGGGGUAACCCGCGUGAGUUCAAGUCUCACAGCUGUCG